Molecule: long non-coding RNA, 1607 nt
Organism: Dicentrarchus labrax (European seabass)
Lineage: Eukaryota; Metazoa; Chordata; Actinopteri; Moronidae
Exons: 6
Source: RefSeq, a predicted model, not a curated record
GCGAGCGCUCUACCAUUUGAGCUAAUUCCCCUUCGAAAGGACGUUAUUGUGGGCCUUAUUCUUGAAGAUAACCAUCCGAACAAUGGAUAUGGAUAUAGUUGUCGAGUCGUGGGUUGUUCUUGUGCUAAUAUUUGACGUACAACAGCGAGCUAGGGUCAUUUUAGCGCUGUACGGAACGGCACGGUACGCCCGUUGCUAGCUAGCAUUAGCGUUGACUAAUUUCGCUAAUGUUAGUAGCGAAGUACGUUAGCAACUAAACGUCAACGGUUUAACAGUUAACGGUUUAACAGUUAAACGUUAACGGUUUAACAGUUAACGGUUUAACAGUUAAACGUUAACGGUGUAACAGUUAACAGGAUUUAAGAACAUAAACUUCUACAUUUGUUUUUUUUUAAUGGCUCUGUAAUGUUACACAAACACGACAUUGCGUUGUACAACUCCAGAUAACCGCAACUCUCUUGACCAAGUCGGAAUAAUUUGAACAACAGCGAACGCGAACUUCUGCCGACUAGAGCGAAAUCGUGUUAGUUCGCCUUUACUUUAUCUAAAUCCCUAUAUAAAUUAUAUAUGAGUACGCUAUCGAUAUAAAACGGUAUAGUCGUCGUGUGUGGAUCAGCUCCCUUCGAUAGCUCAGUUGGUAGAGCGGAGGACUGUAGUGGAUACAUGGUAAUCCUUAGGUCGCUGGUUCGAAUCCGGCUCGAAGGAGAGAUUAUUUUGCCCAAAAUGCAAUUCGGUUUUGUUCCGCAACUGUUCAAACGUCCCAAAAACAUGGCAGUGCAAUUAAGAAAGAUCCUACCAAUAUAAAUCACUUUGUUUAUUUACUAAAUUGAAAGCUGAACCAGCGAUGGAAAAUAGUUUAUUUUAAAAACAACAACUUGUGCCGUACAACUUUAUUUGUCAAUUCGUAGUAUGGAGAGUUCACAGUCUGACAAGGGACUAGCCAAAGCAAAAAGGGAACAUAAUAAAAACACAAAUAUUACAGAUUUAUAUCGAGGAAGGAGUUGGAAACAUCCUGAUUACUAAUUGCCACAACUGUUCGCUGUUAACCUGGCAACUGUUUUGUUGACAGGAUGAGUACAUAUUGUGGUGGAGGAAUCUUCCCUUGAAAUUAUACGGUUUGCCCACCAACUACAGAGCCUAGAGGAGACAUUUUUCUGCCCAUACUGUUCAACUACGAAGAGGCCCAGGGAGCUGCACCGGUUGUACAAUUAAUUUAUCCUCAUGGUGGUAUCUGACAGCAAGACAACAUACAGUGCCACAGGUUGGAAACCACAGCUCUAAAGAUACUGUGAAACAUCUUAAAGACAGCAAGCUUCAGAACAUCUGAGUGUACCCAUGAUACUGCAGAUCCACAGCAGAGUAGAGCUCUUCUCCUGAGAGACAGCUGAAGGUAGACAGGAAAAGGGGGAUGAGAUGCAGCAAAGGGCCAAAGACUGGAAUCGAACCCAGGCCACUGCAGUGAGGAGCCUCAGCCUUUGUACAUGGAGUGCAAGCUCUACCAGGUAAGCUACUGGAACGCUCCGGAGUACCCCUUUUCCACCAAAUCUGGUUCUUGAACUGGAUUUAAAAACAGUCAACAAUAAAUAAUCUUCUUAUUGGGAACAAAC